Long non-coding RNA from Pan troglodytes (chimpanzee), 423 nucleotides. RefSeq lists it as uncharacterized. NCBI's taxonomy places the organism in Eukaryota, Metazoa, Chordata, Mammalia, Primates, Hominidae. The record is from RefSeq and is a predicted model, not a curated record. The transcript has 3 exons.
GGGAGGUAAAUAGGUCAUGAGGGUGGAGCCCUCAUGAAUUAGUCCCCUAAAAGAAGAGGCCAGAGAACCAGCUCAUCCUACUUUUUCCACUUAAGUAACACAGUACUCUGUAGACCAGAAAGAGGAUGUUCACCAAGAACUCAAUCCUGCUGGAAACCUGAUCUCAGACUUCCAGACUCCAAAACUGUAGUGCAAAAUUCCACAUCCACAAAACCCACCUGGCCAGUGAUGGCUUGGGUAAGGACGGAGAAUGCAGUGGGAUCAGAACCCUAGAGUGGGCAUGAAGAGGAGAAAAAAAAAAUUCUGAAAUCACCAUGGAAACACUACAGAGAACUCUGGGUUGCUGUUUUAGUUUUUCUGUUUUUUCCCAGGAAGGUAAAAGGUCAGCAACCACUUGUGAGUGCUGGAAAUCCCACAUAACAG